This 253-nucleotide unclassified non-coding RNA is filed under the name uncultured Gammaproteobacteria bacterium. Its description in RNAcentral is "contains 16S-23S intergenic spacer region". It matches the Rfam family "Bacterial small subunit ribosomal RNA", at positions 524 to 776 of the family's 1533-position model. The record is from RNAcentral. Lineage: Bacteria; Pseudomonadati; Pseudomonadota; Gammaproteobacteria.
UACAGAGGGUGCGAGCGUUAAUCGGAAUUACUGGGCGUAAAGGGUGCGUAGGUGGUUAAUUAAGUCAGAUGUGAAAUCCCAAGGCUUAACCUUGGAAUGGCAUUUGAUACUGGUUGGCUAGAGUACAGAAGAGGGAAGUGGAAUUUCCGGUGUAGCGGUGAAAUGCGUAGAUAUCGGAAGGAACAUCAGUGGCGAAGGCGACUUCCUGGCUCGAUACUGACGCUGAGGUGCGAAAGCGUGGGGAGCAAACAGG